RNAcentral lists this transfer RNA (68 nucleotides) under Histioteuthis bonnellii (umbrella squid). RNAcentral describes it as "tRNA-Pro". The record is from RNAcentral. Lineage: Eukaryota; Metazoa; Mollusca; Cephalopoda; Oegopsida; Histioteuthidae.
CAGGAGGUAGUUUUAAUUAAAAUAUUAACAUUGGAAGUUAGAGAUUGAGUUUAGUUCUCACCUUUUGA